Molecule: non-coding RNA, 517 nt
Filed under: Succinatimonas sp. CAG:777
Lineage: Bacteria; Pseudomonadati; Pseudomonadota; Gammaproteobacteria; Aeromonadales; Succinivibrionaceae
Description: Bacterial large subunit ribosomal RNA
Rfam family: Bacterial large subunit ribosomal RNA
Source: Rfam by way of RNAcentral
AAGUUGAUGCAGGUAGACCCGAAACCGAGUGAUCUAGUCCUGGACAGGCUGAAAGCAGGGUAACACCUGCCGGAGGGCCGAACCUACUGUCGUUGCAAAGCCAGAGGAUGAUCUGGGACUAGGGGUGAAAGGCCAAUCAAACCCGGUGAUAGCUGGUUCUCCCCGAAAGCUAUUUAGGUAGCGUCCUGCAGGGGCGUAUGGGGGUAGAGCACUGUUAUAGGAAGGGGUUCAUUGCGAACUACCGACCUAUUGCAAACUACGAAUACCAUACAGUUGUAAGCAGGGGACACACAGUGGGUGCUAACGUUCAUUGUGAAGAGGGAAACAACCCGGACCGCCAGCUAAGGUCCCAAAGUUCUGAUUAAGUGGGAAACGAUGUGGGAAGGCAUAGACAGCCAGGAUGUUGGCUUAGAAGCAGCCAUCAUUUAAAGAAAGCGUAAUAGCUCACUGGUCGAGUCGGCCUGCGCGGAAGAUGUAACGGGGCUCAAAUCAGACACCGAAGCUGCGGAUUUGUACU